GAGAAUGUACCCCUUAACAGUUUGGAACAAAUAAAAGAGCAAAGUAAUUUCAGGUGGUAAUAUAUAUCACCAAGAGGACAAGACAGAUGUUGUGCUAGAGAUCAACUGUGGGAGGGUGGGAAAAGUGCUAAUUUGGAUCAGGUGGUCAGGGAAGGCCUCACUGAGGAAAUUGCAUUUGAGCUGAGAUUUGAGUGGAUAAAGGAAAUGGCCCUGUGCAGACAGGAGGGCAGAGUGUAACAGGCAGAGGGAACAGCUGUGCAAAGUCCCUGAGACGUAUUCUAGAAACCAACCGCGGUGGGUCAGGAGGUUCAUGGCAGAAAGUGCAAUCAAAAAGGGCGUCUCAGGGUCUUGACCACCUCAAGCCAGGUGAGACACCUUACAGGAUGUCUCCUAAGCUGAUCAGUCUAUGAACAUUUAGUGACCUACAGAAUCUCCCUGUGACAUCUGUUCACUGGGCAACAGCAGCUCACAGGUACUGUUUGCAGGCAGCAGGUGCCAGCGACACCAGAGGCUUUCACCCCAAAACCAGUUCAUUUCAGGUCACACAUCUGUUCUUUCCUCUGAGAGACACCCACUGAGAAGGCUCUUCCGGCUUGGCAGUCCCAGGGGUAGGUGGUAAUCUCCUCCCCGAAUUUCCCAACAAGAAGAAAUUAACCAGUAGAAAAAAAGCUUGUACAAAGAAAGUAAGAGGAAAUUCAAUGGAGAUACCCAGAGGCUUGUGUGAUAGAGGAGAAGGAAAUGGGCAUUUUUUUUCUAGGCUUGGUAUAAAAUAAAGAUCAAUUCUUUACUUAAGGAUUGCUAUUAAAUAUUUAAGUCAACAGAGUUAGGUGCCUCUCAGAUUGAGACAUGAGGUCAGGGAAAGCCCUCCCUCUUAGAUGGACGCUACUCUCAUCUUAUUAAAGACAAGAACAGCCAAUGGGAAGGGGACUGAGACCCACAAUGGGGUCUCUGGGGUCCACAUUUCUAUUGAUAAAAAGAGCUGGAUUAUAGAAUCAAGUCAUAGUUGUCCUGGGCUUGAAUCCUCCUGGCAAAUUAUAACAUCUCUCUGAAUGAUCUUUCCUUGUCUGUAAAAGGAAGUCACAUAAAGAGAAGACUCUAGCAUGGAGAGAACUUGACAGUCUUGAUGUAUCUACAUCAUCCCAGAGUAAUUCACAGCACCCGCUUUUAUUCUGAAAGAUUUGUUCUGUCCUGUUUUCAGUGACAAAUUAUGUGGUCACCCUACCCUUGUCACAUGGGAUCUGGCCCCAGCUUGGGGGAUACUUGUUCACUGUGUUUCUGGUUGUCAGCAUGGGUGGAGAGAUGACAUCUGGUCAGAAGUCAUUCUCUGGCAGUUCUAUAAAGAAUGAUAAGUAUUAUUAUUGUAGCAGUAGUAUUAUUGUGUUAUGGCUAUCAUCAUCUUGUAUGGGGGAUAAAGAAUUUUGCUGAUAAAAGGGCCUGUGGUGUAGAAUCACCACUGCUAUUAUUUUGUUAAAUAUUUAAUUUUUCCAUAAGUUUUUGGGGGACAGGUGGCAUUUGGUUACAUGAGUAAAUUCUUUAGUGGUGAUUUGUGAGAUUCUGGUGCACCCAUCACCUGAGCAGUAUACACUGCACCCACCCUAUUUGUAGUCUUUUAUCCCUCGCCCCCUCCCAUCCUUCCCCCCAAGUCCCCAAAGUCCAUUGUAUUAUUCUUAUGGCUUUGUGUCCUCAUAGCUUAGCUCCCACAUAUCAGUGAGAACAUACAAUGUUUGG
This 1728-nucleotide long non-coding RNA is filed under the name Homo sapiens (human). RNAcentral describes it as "HSALNT0143984". Lineage: Eukaryota; Metazoa; Chordata; Mammalia; Primates; Hominidae. The record is from RNAcentral.